This 1505-nucleotide long non-coding RNA is filed under the name Equus caballus (horse). RNAcentral describes it as "lncRNA (ENSECAG00000055453.1)". Lineage: Eukaryota; Metazoa; Chordata; Mammalia; Perissodactyla; Equidae. The record is from RNAcentral.
UUUGAAACGAAGAGUUAGUCCGUUUAUAAGCAAACCCCCGAAAUACUGGCCCUUAGCAUACAUUCAAAGACCUCGCAUGCACAAAUUUUAAAGAGAUUACUUCUGUUCAAAAUCACUUGGAAAGAACUGUGGGUUUCUUUCAAGUUGAACAACCUCACCGUUUCAAAAGCUGCCCACGGAGGAAAGAACUCAAGUCCAGUGCGAGAGGCAGGGAGGGUGCGAGGCGGCAGCGCAGUGUACCACCUGCCCUGGUGACUGCAGCUUCGCAGGAAGUCUUGAAAUCGGACGGCGUGUGUCCUUCGACACAUUCUUCUCCUUCGAAGUUGUCGUGUGUAUUCCAGCACCUUGGCCUUCCCCAGAGCUUCACACUCACUGUGUCGAUCUCUACAAAACAGCCUGCUGGGAUGUUAACCGGACUGAGUUUAAUCUGUACACCAAUUUGGGGAGAACUGACCUCUUAGCAGUUUUGACUAUUCCAAUCCACGAAACAAUACAUGUCUCCAUUUAUGUAGGAAUUCUUUGAUUUCUUUCAUCUGUGUUUCAUAGUUUUCAGCAAACAGUUCUUGUGUGUAUUUUGUAGGAUUUGUGCCUAAGUAUUUCAUGAUUUUUGGUUCUAUUGUAAAUGGAAAUGUUUUUAAUUUCAGUUUCUAAUGGUUCUUUACUAGUAUACAACUAAAUUCACCUGCAGUCCUAGCUUUUGUGUAGAUGCCACUGGAUUUUCUACGUAGAAAAUCACAUCAUCUGCAAAUAAAGAUGGUUUCUCUCUCUCUCUAAUCUGUUUGCCUUUCAUUUCUCUCUUUUUCUUGCCUUCUGCACUUGCUAGAGCCUCCAGGAUGAUGGUGAAUAGAAGUGGUGAGGUUGGACACCCUCGCCUGGUUCCCGAUCGCAGAGGAAAAGCAUCCCCUCUCUCUCUAUUAUGCAUGAGGCCACUGAAGGGGCUUUGCAGACGCCUCUACCAGGGUCGGGAAAAUCUCUUUAGAUCCUGGCUUGCUGAGUUGUCUGUUUAAUCACAGAUGGACGCUGACUUUCGUUAAAUGCCGUUUCUGCAUCUAUUGAGAUGAUUAUAACAUUUUCCUUCUUCAGUCUGUUGACAUGAAAAAUUACGUUGACUGACUUUCAAAGUUAGAACCAACCUUUCACUGCUGGGAUAAACUCUACUGACCAUGAUGUAUGACCCUUUUUAGACGCGGCUGAAUCAGAGUCAAUGACAUCUGGUGAGAAUUCUCACACCCACAUUCAAGAAGGACCCUGGCCUAGAGUUUUCCUUUCCUCCAAGUCUGUACAGGCCAGCAUUUACAUCGAUUGCAGUUUAGCUGGAUCCUUUCAAGGCUUGUUUUUAAGCUUUUGAGGGGAGGGUCUAAGCUACUCUCACUCUGGGUUUAUUUACCCCACUACCAAGGUAGGACCCCUUGGGGGUCUCUACAGCCUGCCCGGGGUCAGCAAGAACUGUCCACUGCUGCUGAGCCCUUGGCACCGGCCCCCUUGCGGCUCCUUGGCAGUUGUCC